GGUUAAGCGACUAAGCGUACACGGUGGAUGCCCUGGCAGUCAGAGGCGAUGAAGGACGUGCUAAUCUGCGAUAAGCGUCGGUAAGGUGAUAUGAACCGUUAUAACCGGCGAUUUCCGAAUGGGGAAACCCAGUGUGAUUCGUCACACUAUCAUUAACUGAAUCCAUAGGUUAAUGAGGCGAACCGGGGGAACUGAAACAUCUAAGUACCCCGAGGAAAAGAAAUCAACCGAGAUUCCCCCAGUAGCGGCGAGCGAACGGGGAGCAGCCCAGAGCCUGAAUCAGUGUGUGUGUUAGUGGAAGCGUCUGGAAAGGCGUGCGAUACAGGGUGACAGCCCCGUACACAAAAAUGCACAUACUGUGAGCUCGAUGAGUAGGGCGGGACACGUGGUAUCCUGUCUGAAUAUGGGGGGACCAUCCUCCAAGGCUAAAUACUCCUGACUGACCGAUAGUGAACCAGUACCGUGAGGGAAAGGCGAAAAGAACCCCGGCGAGGGGAGUGAAAAAGAACCUGAAACCGUGUACGUACAAGCAGUGGGAGCACGCUUAGGCGUGUGACUGCGUACCUUUUGUAUAAUGGGUCAGCGACUUAUAUUCUGUAGCAAGGUUAACCGAAUAGGGGAGCCGAAGGGAAACCGAGUCUUAACUGGGCGUUAAGUUGCAGGGUAUAGACCCGAAACCCGGUGAUCUAGCCAUGGGCAGGUUGAAGGUUGGGUAACACUAACUGGAGGACCGAACCGACUAAUGUUGAAAAAUUAGCGGAUGACUUGUGGCUGGGGGUGAAAGGCCAAUCAAACCGGGAGAUAGCUGGUUCUCCCCGAAAGCUAUUUAGGUAGCGCCUCGUGAAUUCAUCUCCGGGGGUAGAGCACUGUUUCGGCAAGGGGGUCAUCCCGACUUACCAACCCGAUGCAAACUGCGAAUACCGGAGAAUGUUAUUACGGGAGACACACGGCGGGUGCUAACGUCCGUCGUGAAGAGGGAAACAACCCAGACCGCCAGCUAAGGUCCCAAAGUCAUGGUUAAGUGGGAAACGAUGUGGGAAGGCCCAGACAGCCAGGAUGUUGGCUUAGAAGCAGCCAUCAUUUAAAGAAAGCGUAAUAGCUCACUGGUCGAGUCGGCCUGCGCGGAAGAUGUAACGGGGCUAAACCAUGCACCGAAGCUGCGGCAGCGACGCUUAUGCGUUGUUGGGUAGGGGAGCGUUCUGUAAGCCUGUGAAGGUGUGCUGUGAGGUAUGCUGGAGGUAUCAGAAGUGCGAAUGCUGACAUAAGUAACGAUAAAGCGGGUGAAAAGCCCGCUCGCCGGAAGACCAAGGGUUCCUGUCCAACGUUAAUCGGGGCAGGGUGAGUCGACCCCUAAGGCGAGGCCGAAAGGCGUAGUCGAUGGGAAACAGGUUAAUAUUCCUGUACUUGGUGUUACUGCGAAGGGGGGACGGAGAAGGCUAUGUUGGCCGGG
Molecule: ribosomal RNA, 1450 nt
Filed under: Shigella flexneri
Lineage: Bacteria; Pseudomonadati; Pseudomonadota; Gammaproteobacteria; Enterobacterales; Enterobacteriaceae
Description: partial 23S ribosomal RNA
Rfam family: Bacterial large subunit ribosomal RNA
Source: RNAcentral